This 424-nucleotide ribosomal RNA is filed under the name uncultured prokaryote. RNAcentral describes it as "bacterial SSU rRNA". It matches the Rfam family "Bacterial small subunit ribosomal RNA", at positions 355 to 796 of the family's 1533-position model. The record is from RNAcentral.
CAAGGAAUUUUCCCCAAUGGGCGCAAGCCUGAGGGAGCAACGCCGCGUGCAGGACGACGGCUUUCGGGUUGUAAACUGCUUUUGCGUGGGACGAUAACGACGGUACCCGUGGAGGAAGCACCGGCUAACUCUGUGCCAGCAGCCGCGGUAAUACAGAGGGUGCAAACGUUGCUCGGAAUGACUGGGCGUAAAGCGCGCGCAGGUGGCCUGCUAAGUCGGCUGUGAAAUCCCCUGGCUCAACCAGGGACGUGCAGUCGAUACUGGCAGGCUCGAGUCCCGGAGAGGGUGGUAGAAUUCCCAGUGUAGAGGUGAAAUUCGUAGAUAUUGGGAGGAAUACCGGUGGCGAAGGCGACCGCCUGGACGGGUACUGACACUGAGGCGCGAAAGCGUGGGGAGCAAACAGGAUUAGAUACCCCGGUAGUCC